GUAACUAUGGUUUAAUAAAAACAUUAGAUUGUGACUCAAAUAACAGAAACUCAAAACUUCUUAUUUACC
RNAcentral lists this transfer RNA (69 nucleotides) under Equus asinus (donkey). It matches the Rfam family "tRNA". From Rfam's summary of the family: Transfer RNA (tRNA) molecules are approximately 80 nucleotides in length. Their secondary structure includes four short double-helical elements and three loops (D, anti-codon, and T loops). RNAcentral also lists the same sequence under 1 other name. The record is from Rfam by way of RNAcentral. Lineage: Eukaryota; Metazoa; Chordata; Mammalia; Perissodactyla; Equidae.